Non-coding RNA from Salmo salar (Atlantic salmon), 58 nucleotides. Lineage: Eukaryota; Metazoa; Chordata; Actinopteri; Salmoniformes; Salmonidae. The record is from Rfam.
UGGCUCAGUUGGUAGAGCAUGGUGUUUGCAACGCUAGGGUUGAGGGUUCAAUUCCCAC